AUGUAUGGGGUCCUGCUCAGACUUCUGUCAGUGGUCAUAAUUACUAUAUCAGUUUCGUUGAUGCUUAUAGUCGCUUUACCUGGCUUUACCUUAUUAAACGCAAAUCUGAUGUGUUUGAUAUUUUUGUUCAGUUUCAGAAACAUGUUGAACGUCUUCUCAAGCACAAAAUUGUUCAUGUCCAGUCGGACUGGGGGGGGCGAGUAUCGCAACCUCAACUCCUUCUUUCAGUCGCUUGGGAUAGCUCAUCGUUUAGCAUGUCCACAUACACAUCAGCAGAAUGGUUCAGUAGAACGUAAGCAUCGUCAUAUUGUUGAAGCUGGUCUUACUCUUUUGGCCCAUGCAUCUGUUCCGUUUCGGUUUUGGAGUGAUGCUUUCACCACUGCAUGCUUUCUCAUCAACCGUACUCCCACUCGUGUUUUAAACAUGAAGACUCCCAUUGAGGUUGUCCUUAAUGAACAACCUGAUUAUACCUUUUUCAAGGUAUUUGGGUGUGCUUGCUGGCCGCAUCUUCGUCCAUAUAAUAAGCGCAAGCUUGAGUUUCGUUCUAAGAAGUGUGUUUUUCUUGGCUAUAGCUCUCUUCAUAAAGGUUACAAAUGUCUUCAUGUUCCCACUAAUCGUGUCUAUAUAUCUCGGGACGUCGUGUUUGAUGAGCAUGUUUUUCCCUUUGCCAAACUUCCUGUGUCCACUGUCGAACCACCAUCUCUGCAUUCAUCCUCUGUUGCUUCUGACCAAUUUGAUGAUGUUGCAUACUCUCCUUUGCUGUUACCUAACCAUGGUGCAGGAACCGGAUGUGGGGCUCGUUUGGAGCUGUUGGAGGAUUCACCAUCAUCAUCGCCGCCUUCUGAUGGGCACGUCGAUCGCCCUAUGUUGCAUGGCAUCGAUUCGCGUGCCCAUGCAUGGUCACCCGAAGAGCCCGUCGCGCCGAGCAUCUCCACUGCUCGGUCCGCUACGCCAGCGACCGCCGAGUCUCCAGCGGCUCGGCCCUCUUCGCCAGCGGCCGCCGAGUCUUCCGCGGCUCGGCCUGUCACGCCGUCUUCGCCCGCGGCUCGGCCCGUCACGCCGUCUUCGCCUGCAGCUCGGGUCCGCGACGCCGUCCUCACGUCGCCUUCAUCCGCGGAUCGGCCCGCGACACCGGCCGCGCCAUGGCCCACUAUGCCGGGCUCGCCAUCGGCCCGGUCUGUGACGCCGGUGUCGCCAGCUGCUUCGUCUGCUCUGCCGAUUUCGCCGGUGGGCCGGCCUUCUUCGCCGAUCGAGCCCGAGGCUAUUGUGUCUGGCUCCUCGUCACCGGCUGACUCGUCAACGUCGCCGUCCUCCAGCCCAUUGCAGGAUGCUCCGUCGACCUCGGUGGUUCCUGUGUCCCGACCACAUACACGCAUUCGCAGUGGCAUUUUCAAACCUAAGGAACGUAAGGAUGGUACGGUUGCUUGGUUGGCUGCUUGUUUGGCUGCUGCUGUUGCGGAUCCAUCUUCUGAGCCUCGCUCAUAUCAGGCUGCCCUGCGCAUUCCACAUUGGCGAGAGGCUAUGGAGCAGGAGUUUCAUGCUCUCCUUCGUAACAAGACAUGGACUCUCGUUCCUCCACCACCACGGGUAAAUGUUAUUGACUCAAAAUGGGUAUUCAAAGUGAAGAAGCAUUCGGAUGGAUCUAUUGAGCGUUACAAAGCGCGACUUGUUGCUCGCGGUUUUUGGCAGCGCCAUGGUCUUGACUAUGAGGACACCUUCAGUCCUGUCGUCAAGCCUACCACUAUUCGGCUUCUUCUCUCCAUUGCUGUUUCUCGUGGUUGGUCACUUCGUCAACUUGAUGUGCAGAAUGCUUUUCUACAUGGAUUUUUGGAGGAAGAGGUUUAUAUGAAACAACCGCCUGGUUUCUCUGAUCCUGAUCGUCCUGACUAUAUCUGUCGUCUCUCCAAAGCACUAUAUGGUUUGAAGCAAGCUCCUCGUGCCUGGCAUGCCCGCCUUGCCUCUGCCCUUCGUGCUCAUGGGUUUGUGCCGUCCACUGCUGACACUUCAUUAUUUCUUCUACAGAAGCCAGAAGUCACUAUGUAUCUUUUGGUAUAUGUCGAUGAUAUUAUCCUUGUCAGCUCUUCUCAGUAUGCUGCUGAUGCUCUUGUUUGCUCUCUUGGUGCUGAUUUUGCGGUCAAAGAUCUUGGGAAGCUUCACUACUUUCUUGGAGUUGAGGUCACUUCUCGUGCUACUGGUCUUGUCCUUACGCAGAAGAAGUACUCCUUGGAGUUGUUACAAAGAGCGGGCAUGCUGAAGUGCAAACCGACCACCACACCCAUGUCGUCUACCGACAAGAUAACAGCUGUUGAUGGUGAGCUUUUGUCUCCUGCGGAUGCCACAGAGUACAGGAGCAUUGUUGGUGGACUUCAGUACUUGACGAUCACGAGACCAGAUAUCUCUUAUGCUGUUAACAGAGUUUGUCAGUAUCUUCAGGCUCCCAGAGAUACUCAUUGGGCUGCUGUUAAACGCAUUCUUCGUUAUGUUCAGUUCACCCUGACAUUUGGUAUGCAUAUUCGGCCGACUUCCUCUCGGGUCCUUUCGGCCUUCUCUGAUGCAGAUUGGGCUGGUAGCCCAGAUGACAGGCGAUCCACGGGGGGUUAUGCAGUAUUCUUUGGCCCUAAUUUGAUCGCCUGGAGUGCUCGGAAACAGGCUACUGUGUCACGUAGCAGUACUGAAGCUGAGUACAAGGCUGUGGCUAAUGCUACUGCAGAGAUUAUUUGGGUGCAGUCUUUGCUUCAGGAGUUGGGUUUGUCUCAACCACAGCCUCCUAUUCUUUGGUGUGAUAACAUCGGUGCUACAUACCUUUCUGCAAAUCCAGUAUUUCAUGCCCGAACGAAACACAUUGAAGUUGACUAUCACUUUGUACGGGAACGUGUAUCACAGAAGCAACUCCAGAUCAAGUUUAUCUCAUCUAAGGAUCAACUUGCAGACAUCUUCACUAAGCCUUUACCUCUACCACGGUUUGAGGCUUGUAGGCGCAAUCUUACCCUUCUCAGUUCUUUAGAAAGUGGCUAA
RNAcentral lists this ribosomal RNA (3015 nucleotides) under Triticum aestivum (bread wheat). RNAcentral's name for it is "partial small subunit ribosomal RNA". The record is from RNAcentral. Lineage: Eukaryota; Viridiplantae; Streptophyta; Magnoliopsida; Poales; Poaceae.